UACGGAGGUGACCAGCGUUGUCCGGAUUUACUGGGCGUAAAGAGCGCGCAGGCGGUCGUUCAAGUCGAGUGUGAAAGCCCCCGGCUCAACUGGGGAGGGUCACUCGAUACUGAUCGACUUGAAGGCAGGAGAGGGAAGCGGAAUUCCCGGUGUAGUGGUGAAAUGCGUAGAUAUCGGGAGGAACACCUGCGGCGAAGGCGGGUUGCUGGGCUGAUACUGACGCUGAGGCGCGAAAGCCAGGGGAGCGAACGGG
This 253-nucleotide ribosomal RNA is filed under the name uncultured bacterium. RNAcentral's name for it is "partial 16S ribosomal RNA". It matches the Rfam family "Bacterial small subunit ribosomal RNA", at positions 524 to 776 of the family's 1533-position model. The record is from RNAcentral.